GCUAGUCUCAACCUGCACCUGAUCGCGCGCGCCGCUGCCGCGAGGUCCACCACCUACAGUCGGCGCUACGACAACCACCCACCCGCCGCGCCAGCCAGCCCACACCAGUACCGCCUGCAUCCCGCCGACCCUCCGGCCCCCAGCGAGCCGCUGUCCCUCCCUCUCCUGGGUCCGCCAGCCCCGGCGACGCGCGCCGCCGCCCACCAACUAGGAUCCCGCCACUUCAACUUGUUCUGAACGGGAGCUACAGUGCUGGCCGGCUCUGCUCCUGCGGGACUGCACUCAAUCAUGGCAGCUCCGGCUGAACUUCAGGCCCGAAAAAAACUGGAGAAGAUGGGAUCCAAGGAGGGUGGUUGCUCGGGAGGAGGUGGGAUCGAAGGUAGAAGAGUCGUGUGAUACUUUUAGCAAUGUGGCACACGUGUGCCAAAUAUCACAGUCAUACCCCUUGGUUCCUAGAGAAACAUCCAUCGGUUUCCUAGAAAAACAUCCAUCGGUGUUCUAUUCCUUGCUUUGAGAUUUGCACUGUGCAUUUCGAACCCUUCUCUCUUCGCCAGCGAACGCUUCUCGAGAUAAGGUGUAUGUCACAAUGGUGCAAAUAUUCACCACGUUCACAUGAACACUUUGAACUAGCAGUAAAAAUUUGAGAACAGAGCAGGAUAAUCUCAAUGUUCUAUUUUGCGUGGGUAUCACAGCGGGAGCUGACCACCAGCUGCACCUGCACGGAACCCAGAGAAGAGAGCAGAGCAUACUAAUCACAUGCCCCCUUUACAUAGUCAUCUGAAGAAAUG
This is a long non-coding RNA of Triticum aestivum (bread wheat), 788 nucleotides long. RefSeq lists it as uncharacterized. Lineage: Eukaryota; Viridiplantae; Streptophyta; Magnoliopsida; Poales; Poaceae. The record is from RefSeq and is a predicted model, not a curated record. The transcript has 3 exons.